This 433-nucleotide ribosomal RNA is filed under the name uncultured bacterium. Its description in RNAcentral is "partial 16S ribosomal RNA". It matches the Rfam family "Bacterial small subunit ribosomal RNA", at positions 29 to 507 of the family's 1533-position model. The record is from RNAcentral.
AACGAACGCUGGCGGCAGGCUUAACACAUGCAAGUCGAGCGAGAUCUUCGGGUGUAGCGGCGGACGGGGGAGUAAGGCGUGGGAAUAUGCCCUUCUGUGCGGAAUAGCUUCGGGAAAGAGAGCGUAAUAACGCAUAGGCUCUUAGGGGGAAAGAUUUAUCGGAGAAGGAUUAGCCCGCGUUGGAUUAGGUGGUUGGUGGGGUAACGGCCUACCAAGCCGACGAUCCAUAGCUGGUUUGAGAGGAUGAUCAGCCACACUGGGACUGAGACACGGCCCAGACUCCUACGCGAGGCAGCAGUGGGGAAUCUUAGACAAUGGGGGCAACCCUGAUCUAGCCAUGCCGCGUGAGUGAUGAAGGCCUUAGGGUUGUAAAGCUCUUUCAGCUGGGAAGAUAAUGACGGUACCAGCAGAAGAAGCCCCGGCUAACUCCGUG